This 453-nucleotide ribosomal RNA is filed under the name uncultured Porphyromonadaceae bacterium. RNAcentral describes it as "partial 16S ribosomal RNA". It matches the Rfam family "Bacterial small subunit ribosomal RNA", at positions 341 to 792 of the family's 1533-position model. The record is from RNAcentral. Lineage: Bacteria; Pseudomonadati; Bacteroidota; Bacteroidia; Bacteroidales; Porphyromonadaceae.
ACGGAAGGCAGCAGUGAGGAAUAUUGGUCAAUGGGCGGAAGCCUGAACCAGCCAAGUCGCGUGAAGGAUGAAGGUAUUAUGUAUUGUAAACUUCUUUAGACGUAGAGAAAUAAGGGGGUCGUGACCUCUGAUGCUAGUAUACGUAGAAUAAGGAUCGGCUAACUCCGUGCCAGCAGCCGCGGUAAUACGGAGGAUCCGAGCGUUAUCCGGAUUUAUUGGGUUUAAAGGGUGCGCAGGCGGCUUUUUAAGUCAGUGGUUAAGUCGUGGAGCUUAACUCCAUCCCGCCAUUGAUACUGGAGAGCUUGAUUGCGGUUGAGGUUGGCGGAAUUCGCCGUGUAGCGGUGAAAUGCAUAGAUAUGGCGAAGAACUCCGAUUGCGUAGGCAGCUGACCAAGCCGUAAAUGACGCUCAUGCACGAAAGUGCGGGGAUCGAACAGGAUUAGAUACCCUGGUA